RNAcentral lists this ribosomal RNA (1107 nucleotides) under uncultured organism. Its description in RNAcentral is "bacterial SSU rRNA". It matches the Rfam family "Bacterial small subunit ribosomal RNA", at positions 332 to 1470 of the family's 1533-position model. The record is from RNAcentral.
CAGACUCCUACGGGAGGCAGCAGCGGGGAAUAUUGCGCAAUGGACGGAAGUCAGACGCAGCGACGCCGCGUGGGUGAAGAAGGCCUUCGGGUUGUAAAGCCCUUUUCUGAGGGAAGAGAAAGGACGGUACCUUAGGGAUAAGCGUCGGCUAACUACGUGCCAGCAGCCGCGGUAAGACGUAGGACGCGAGCGUUAUCCGGAUUUACUGGGCGUAAAGCGUGUGUAGGCGGCGUGACAAGUUGGGCGUGAAAGCCCCGUGCUCAACGCGGGGAGGCCGCACAAUACUGUCAGGCUAGAGGGCACCAGAGGGGUGUGGAAUUCCCGGAGUAGCGGUAAAAUGCGCAGAUAUCGGGAGGAACACCGGUGGCGAAAGCGGCACCCUGGGGUGCGCCUGACGCUGAGAGACGACAGCUAGGGGAGCGAACAGGAUUAGAGACCCUGGUAGUCCUAGCCGUAAACGAUGGAUGCUAGGUGUAGGAGUGAAGAGCUUCUGUGCCGCAGCGAACGCGAUAAGCAACCCGCCUGGGGAGUACGGCCGCAAGGUUAAAACUCAAACGAAUUGACGGGGACCCGCACAAGCAGCGGAGCGUGUGGUUUAAUUCGAUGCUACACGAAGAACCUUACCUGGGAUUGACAUAUGGGUGGUAGUGAUCCGAAAGGAGAGCGACCCUUCGGGGAGCCUAUACAGGUGCUGCAUGGCUGUCGUCAGCUCGUGCCGUGAGGCGUCGGGUUAAGUCCCGUAACGAGCGCAACCCUUGUCCUUAGUUACAAGUGUCUAAGGGGACUGCCGGCGGGAAGCCGGAGGAAGGUGGGGAUGACGUCAAGUCAGCAUGGCCCUUAUAUCCAGGGCGACACACACGCUACAAUGGUCGGUACAGAGGGCAGCGAAGCCGCGAGGUGGAGCGAAACCCAGAAAGCCGGUCGUAGUUCGGAUUGCAGGCUGCAACUCGCCUGCAUGAAGUUGGAGUUGCUAGUAACCGCAGGUCAGCCAUACUGCNGGUGAUACGUUCCCGGGUCUUGUACACACCGCCCGUCACGUCAUGGGAGUCUGUAACGCAUGAAGGCGGUAGCCUGACCGCAAGGGAGGCGCUGUCGAGGGCGGGGCUG